CCUGGUGGCUCAGUGGUAAAGAAUCUGCCUACAAUGCAGGAGACCCAGGUUCGAUUCCUGGGUCAGGA
Molecule: transfer RNA, 68 nt
Filed under: Bos taurus (domestic cattle)
Lineage: Eukaryota; Metazoa; Chordata; Mammalia; Artiodactyla; Bovidae
Also listed under: 5 other names
Rfam family: tRNA
About the family: Transfer RNA (tRNA) molecules are approximately 80 nucleotides in length. Their secondary structure includes four short double-helical elements and three loops (D, anti-codon, and T loops).
Source: Rfam by way of RNAcentral